GAUGAACGCUGGCGGCGUGCCUAAUACAUGCCAGUCGAGCGAACAGAUGAGGAGCUUGCUCCUCUGACGUUAGCGGCGGACGGGUGAGUAACACGUGGAUAACCUACCUAUAAGACUGGGAUAACUUCGGGAAACCGGAGCUAAUACCGGAUAAUAUAUUGAACCGCAUGGUUCAAUAGUGAAAGACGGUUUUGCUGUCACUUAUAGAUGGAUCCGCGCCGCAUUAGCUAGUUGGUAAGGUAACGGCUUACCAAGGCAACGAUGCGUAGCCGACCUGAGAGGGUGAUCGGCCACACUGGAACUGAGACACGGUCCAGACUCCUACGGGAGGCAGCAGUAGGGAAUUUUCCGCAAUGGGCGAAAGCCUGACGGAGCAACGCCGCGUGAGUGAUGAAGGUCUUCGGAUCGUAAAACUCUGUUAUUAGGGAAGAACAAAUGUGUAAGUAACUAUGCACGUCUUGACGGUACCUAAUCAGAAAGCCACGGCUAACUACGUG
Molecule: ribosomal RNA, 497 nt
Filed under: uncultured bacterium
Lineage: Bacteria
Description: partial 16S ribosomal RNA
Rfam family: Bacterial small subunit ribosomal RNA
Source: RNAcentral